GAUGAACGCUGGCGGCGUGCCUAAUACAUGCAAGUCGAGCGAACAGACGAGGAGCUUGCUCCUCUGACGUUAGCGGCGGACGGGUGAGUAACACGUGGAUAACCUACCUAUAAGACUGGGAUAACUUAGGGAAACCGGAGCUAAUACCGGAUAAUAUAUUGAACCGCAUGGUUCAAUAGUGAAAGACGGUUUUGCUGUCACUUAUAGAUGGAUCCGCGCCGCAUUAGCUAGUUGGUAAGGUAACGGCUUACCAAGGCGACGAUGCGUAGCCGACCUGAGAGGGUGAUCGGCCACACUGGAACUGAGACACGGUCCAGACUCCUACGGGAGGCAGCAGUAGGGAAUCUUCCGCGAUGGGCGAAAGCCUGACGGAGCAACGCCGCGUGAGUGAUGAAGGUCUUCGGAUCGUAAAACUCUGUUAUUAUGGAAGAACAAAUGUGUAAGUAACUAUGCACGUCUUGACGGUACCUAAUCAGAAAGCCACGGCUAACUACGUG
This 497-nucleotide ribosomal RNA is filed under the name uncultured bacterium. RNAcentral's name for it is "partial 16S ribosomal RNA". It matches the Rfam family "Bacterial small subunit ribosomal RNA", at positions 28 to 507 of the family's 1533-position model. The record is from RNAcentral.